This 204-nucleotide ribosomal RNA is filed under the name Escherichia coli. RNAcentral describes it as "partial 16S ribosomal RNA". It matches the Rfam family "Bacterial small subunit ribosomal RNA", at positions 154 to 360 of the family's 1533-position model. The record is from RNAcentral. Lineage: Bacteria; Pseudomonadati; Pseudomonadota; Gammaproteobacteria; Enterobacterales; Enterobacteriaceae.
AAACGGUAGCUAAUACCGCAUAACGUCGCAAGACCAAAGAGGGGGACCUUCGGGCCUCUUGCCAUCGGAUGUGCCCAGAUGGGAUUAGCUAGUAGGUGGGGUAAAGGCUCACCUAGGCGACGAUCCCUAGCUGGUCUGAGAGGAUGACCAGCCACACUGGAACUGAGACACGGUCCAGACUCCUACGGGAGGCAGCAGUGGGGA